Molecule: long non-coding RNA, 1112 nt
Organism: Choloepus didactylus (southern two-toed sloth)
Lineage: Eukaryota; Metazoa; Chordata; Mammalia; Pilosa; Megalonychidae
Exons: 4
Source: RefSeq, a predicted model, not a curated record
ACUGCAAAGAACAUCACGAAGGCUGUGAUGAAGUUCACGGGGAAUGCAGUAGUCUGAGAGAAGCGUGUGUCAUCUGGCAUACAGACCCCCUCUGCCCAGGUCCUCCUUAGGGGUGCAGGAAGCCACCUGCACAGAACCUGCCACACACCUGGCAGACUGAAGGGCCACCUGUCACUCCAUCUGCUCCAACCGCACCUGACGUCAGCACCAACACGCUCGCACACAGUGGAUGCUGGUGUCACAUGGCUGGGCAUGUGGUGGAAGGCGAGUCUCUCUGUCUCAAUCGAGUAGAUUUAAUCCAGGAUACCAAUAUCUCUCUCCAAAUGUGACCUGAAGGAGAACAGGCCUGUGAAAGGCAUUUUAAGUUUGCAAAAAUCUUUCCACUAGCUGGAGCACAGAAUCGAUGCAUCUAGUCCUUUCCAAGGGGGCAGAGUAUGAACGUCCAGCCGGCUGUCACUGGAGAACUUCUCCUGUUGUUGAGUCCUAAUAAACCCAUGUCCACUUCUGUGCCGGGUGUGUUUUUCAAUCUAGCAGCUACACCCUCCCAGGCUCCAUGUGAAUUUGGUCUGGGCUUGAACACCAUACUUGUCCUGCAUUCCGGCAAUACUGUGCUGCUUGCAAUUCCUCAGUACAAGAAAGACCUUCUAUCCUUGGCAUAUUUUCCUCUAAAACUCCUGCUCCAUUUGCAAAGCUCACUCCAGGCAAGUUCCUCUCCACUGCACUCACACCACACCUGUCCUCUUUGCCCUCCCUGCCCUCAUCACACAGGUUAUAACUGUUUGUCUGUCUCUGCCAAUAGUCUGUGACCUCCUCAAUAUUAAGGGCUGUGUCUUUUUCCUCUCUGUAAUGCCCCCUGGACACAUAAGAAGCACACAGUAAAUAUUUAUGGAAGGAAGAGAAGGUGUGCCAGUUCAAUGUGUUGUGUUCCCCAGAAUGCCAUUAUCUUUGAUGCAAUCUUGUGUGGGCAGACAUAUAAGUGUCGUUUAGAUUUUGGAACCCUUUAGGUGUUUCCAUGGAGAUGUAUUUCAAUCAACUGUGGACAAGACCUUUGGUUGGAUAAUUUCCAUGGAGGUUGUGCCCCACGCUUUUCAGGGUGGAUCUGAAUUAAACUA